CUGCCCCUCCUCCACUCACGUGCUCACUCUCUCUCUCUCUCUCUCUCUUAAAAAUAAGUAAACAUUAAAAAAAUUAAAAAAUUUUUUAAAGUGGUUUGUACUAAUGAUGGAUUGAAUUCCUGGCUUCACGCUGGUCUCUACUGCCUGUUUUGUGUCACUGCAGACAGAAAAGGGUAAAGCUUGGGCUCUGGAGUCAGUUCGUCCAGGCUCUGCCAUUAGAAAACUAUGAGAUCUUGGACACGUUACUUAACCCUCUCUAAACUGCAGGAUUUCUCAAUUCUCAAAGCAAAUAAUAACAGUACCCACUUAACAGGAUUGUGAGGGGAAAUGAGAUCAUUAACAGACACUGCAUUUAACUGGGCUUCAGCUCAAUAAAUGUUAGCUAUCACAAUAAAAAUAUGUAAAUAUUAUUAGAAUUCUCAAGGAAGCAAAAGGGAGAGGGAAGGAAAAGAGGAGAGAGAAUGCCUUUGAAGUUGUAUUAUCAAUCUGAUGGAGACUGAAGGGGAGACUGAAGAAGGAAAGGAGGAAGAAAACUGGAAGAAAUGGAAAGGGGGAUGGAGAGAGAAGAAUAUCUCAGGUUAUGAUUCCUUGAGUCCAAAUCUUUCCACAAUCAUUGCAUAGAUAAAUCCCCAAAGGCUUGGGAAUGAUAAGGGAUCUGAGGGUCUGCAUUCACAAAGUCAUUGUGACUACAAAACAGCAGCACCAGCCUAUCACAUGAGGGAAGUGUUAAGUCUUGAGUACACUUUGGUCAAGACAGAACAUCCAACUUUCUAUUAUUCCUCUGGUACAAAGAAGUGCCUUUGUAAUUGUAGGGCAGGUCUAAGAUGCUUUUGUAUUCUGGACAAGUAAUCCUCAAAGUGGAGAGGAAUGCACUCAAGGAGGUAUCCAGAAUGAUCCACUGGGGUGUGGGAAGAAAACAUCAGAAACUCAAUUUUUGUUCACUUUUUAACCCAUCCUUUAAACAUUUCUAAUUUUUGUUUAUAUGUUAUAAAACAUUUACUAAAAUACCUAGUAUGUUUGUAAUAUAUAAAUAAAUUUAUAAUAUAUAUACACACACAAUACACACACACACACACACACAAAUAUUAGAGGCUCAUGAUUAAGUCUUUGGAGAAACAUGACCAAACACUUGGAGAAAAUUGUUAUAGUGCACUAGGCAUGUUUCAAAUACUUAGCAUGACUUCACAUACACACACAGAUAUCACCUCUUCCCUGUCCUUUAUAACAGUGGGCUGUUGUAACCAGAAAAAAAAAAUGGUCUUGGUUAUCAGUCCAAAGAGAGAAGUAUUUUGCCAAAUAAGAAGAUUUUUUAUUCCCUUAAACUCCAUUAUUUGGGCAAUAAUUCAAUCUUAAAUACCCCAGUGCUCCUGUAGUCAUGCUAACAACCUAUCUCAAGUUUUCCCUCUUCCCUAGAAUCAUGCUAAAUAUGACUUCAUCACCACUCCUCCCUGCUUUCUAGAAAGUUUUAAAAACAGUCUUCCAAUUCUGCAGAAAUUAUGAAACUGACCUAAAUAAAUAACUGUUGGAGUCAAUGCCAGGGCCAAAGACUGUGUGACCUCAAUAUCAGAACACCAGUCUCCUCAUUUCCCUUUCUUGUUUACACUCUUGGUGCCCAGGGAAUAAAUAGCAAUGGCAGGAAGAUGUCUGUGAGAUCCUGGUCCGUGCCAAGGACAUCACCAGCUCAGCAAGUGUCUUCAAAGUAAAUGUUUUAAUUGUUGUUCGAGUAACAGGUUGCGACUCUUACCUUUGCUCUCUUACCCGAGGAAAAUUCAACCUACAUGGUUCAGAGCAGAAGGACAAAAUCAAUGGAGUCAACAAUACCGAUGGAAGAAUUACUGUAUUACCUAUCCUGCAACCGCCACCCCCCUAUUUUGGGUAACCACUUCACAAUCAGACUCCCCCCCCACCCCCCCGCCCCAUUCAAGUCUUCAUGGAUCUUCACUCAGUGUGCCCCAUCCAUGGUACAUAUGACCCAAGCAAAGUCAGAUACUUGUUGGAAAUCUUGAAUAGACUGAAGCAAGCGCAGGAAAGUAGUGGGAGCUGAGUUAUUCAAAUAGAGGCACCCUAAAGAGCCUGCAUAUUAGUUCUUGCUGGCUUGAUGCUUAAAGUUGCCAAGAUUUCUGACCAUCUCUGAGAGAUGGCAAAAAUGGCCUCAGAUUCUUCUUUCCUCUCUCCACGCUCUUGGGCAGUCCCUUUCCAUGUGGACUCUGAGCUGGAACAUAGGAUUCAUUUUAGUCAGGAUCAAAUACACCACAAAUGGAAACUUGAAAAGUGCUUGUGUGACGGUGCUUGCCCUCUUUUGCUGUACUUGGAACCCCAAGUCCAUGAUGCAGUGAGUCUGCAGGGGGAUAAAUGACCAUGUGGAGGAGAUGCAAGGCACCCUAGCCAACCAGGCAGUGACUGCAGACCCAUGAGUGAGCUCCUAUGGUGAACAGCUUAGCCUGGCACAGACUAGGAAUUGCUCAAGCUUGCCCGGACUGUGGAUGUGCAGAAUCUUGAGCUAAACAAAUGAUUGCUGGGGAUCUGGGUAUGUGUGUGUGUCGGGGGGCGGGGGGCUAAUUUUCAAUGUGGUUUUUAUGUAGCACAGUAAAAGCUGAUACACCAACUUCCUGGAGUUUAAGUUUUCAGCUUUUCUUCUAAUUCUGUAAACUAUCAUAUCCUUAGAAUGAAUUCAUUUUACUUAAAGUUAGUAAAGUUGGCUUCUGUUGCUUGCAAUCGAAAUUAUUUUAGUAGCCAGGUAGGAGACAGAUGACCAGAUCUUUGUAGGAAACAUGGCAAAUAUAAAUUUCUAGAAACUUCCAAACUUGUCUGUUUUUUCUUUUAAUGUUUACUUAUUUAUUUUGAGAAAGAGAGAGCAUGAGUGUGUGUGGGGGGGGGGGGUGGGGGGCAGAGAGAGAGAAAGAGUGAGAGAGAAUCCCAAACAGGCUCCACACUGUCAGUGCAGAGCCCCACACGGGGCUCAAUCUCAUGAACUGCGAGAUCAUGACCUCAGCCAAAAUCAAGGGUCAGACGCUUAACAAACUGGGCCACCCAGGUGCCCCCAAACUUGUCUGGUUUUUGAGCAAAACUAUUUUGUUACUCCUCUCCAUUCUCCCUUAUUCUUUUCACAAGGAAAUAGAAUAGUAUUCUUACUGUUGAAAUAAUAUAAGACACACUUCAAACUCUAAGUUUAGAGGGGAGGAAUUUUGAGACUCUUAUUUGAAGAGCUGUCAUCUUUGGUCUGGGUCACCCUAGACAUAAACAGGUGGGAAGAAGUUAGGCUCUGACUGCAUUAUCAAGUGGUCUGUGGACUGUGGCUCUAGCCUGGUUCAUAUCCUGGCUACUCUACCUAUUAACAUGGUGACCUUGGGCAAGUUACUUAAACGUAGUAGGCUUUAGUUUCCUCCACUGUAAAAUGGAGAUAAUAAUAAUAUUUACCUCUUAAGUCAAACAUUACAUAAAUAUUUGGUAUUAUUAUUAUAAUGAUUACUCCUUAGAGUCUAGGUUCCCUUGGGGAACAUCUUGGAAAAAGACAUUUGGUAUUGUGGGAGCUUGGAAAAAGCCAUGGAAGAGAAGGCUUUAUUGCUAGUCCUGGCUCUGCCACAAACCUGCUAUGGUCUUGGGCAAGGCUCUUUGUGCCAUUUCCCUCCCCAUCUGUAACAUGGGAUAAUCAUAAUCCCUGUUCUAGUUUGGAAGCAAAUAUGAAGUAACACACGUGAACAUGUUUCUAAACAUUCAAAAGUGCUCAAUUGCUAUUUGGUAAGGUCUAUGAUUAUUAUUCAGAUAAUGAGGUAGUUUUAGGUUCCAAAUAAGUCCUACAAUUUCUCAUGCCAUUUGAGUAGGUCCUAGGUGGAGAGUUAUUGCAUUUAGACAGAGAAAGAGAAAUGCAAAAAGCAAUCUUGGCAUAAAGAGUUAUUUACAGAUAUAUUACACCAAAACCUGUGUGUUGAGGGGUGCCUGGGUGGGUCAGUCAGUUAAGCAUCCAGCUCUUGAUUUGGUUUCAGGUCAUGAUCUCGGGGUGGUGGGAUUGAGCCCUACAUGGGACUCCGCACUGGCUGUGGAGCCUGCUUAAGAUUCUCUCUCUCCCUCUGCCCUGCCCGGCUCAUGCUAUCUCAAACAAAUUAAUUAAAUUAAAUAAAUAACAGGAAAAAAACCCUGUAUGUUGAGAGGCUUGAUUACUUAUCAGAUCAAAGAGGUCACAGCCUAGGGGUGCCUGGGUGGCUCAGCCAGUUAAGUGUGUGACUUUGGCUCAGCUCAUGAUCUCACAAGCUCAGGUCAUGAUCUCACAGUUUGUGAGUAUGAAGGCCACAUGGGGCUCUCUGCUCUCAGUAUAGAGCCCACUUUGGAUCCUCUGUCCCCCUCUCUCUCUGCCCCUCCCCCAUGCAUUCUCUCUC
Acinonyx jubatus (cheetah) is the source of this 4373-nucleotide long non-coding RNA. RefSeq lists it as uncharacterized. Lineage: Eukaryota; Metazoa; Chordata; Mammalia; Carnivora; Felidae. The record is from RefSeq and is a predicted model, not a curated record. The transcript has 2 exons.